GGAUAACCCAUGGAAACAUGGUAAUACCGCAUAUACUCUUGCUACAUAAGUAGAGUAGAGGAAAGUUUUUUCCUUCACGAUGAGCCUGCGGCCUAUUAGCCUGUUGGUAGGGUAAUGGCCUACCAAAGCUACGAUAGGUAGCCGACCUGAGAGGGUGACCGGCCACAUUGGGACUGAGAUACGGCCCAGACUCCUACGGGAGGCAGCAGCUGAGAAUCUUCCACAAUGGACGAAAGUCUGAUGGAGCGACAUCGCGUGAGGGAUGAAGGCCUUCGGGUUGUAAACCUCGGAAAUUAUCGAAGAAUGAGUGACAGUAGAUAAUGUAAGCGGCUAACUACGC
This 340-nucleotide ribosomal RNA is filed under the name Brachyspira pilosicoli. Its description in RNAcentral is "bacterial SSU rRNA". It matches the Rfam family "Bacterial small subunit ribosomal RNA", at positions 141 to 506 of the family's 1533-position model. The record is from RNAcentral. Lineage: Bacteria; Pseudomonadati; Spirochaetota; Spirochaetia; Brachyspirales; Brachyspiraceae.